RNAcentral lists this long non-coding RNA (3076 nucleotides) under Cucumis sativus (cucumber). RNAcentral describes it as "long non-coding RNA (CSAT_LNC000808)". Lineage: Eukaryota; Viridiplantae; Streptophyta; Magnoliopsida; Cucurbitales; Cucurbitaceae. The record is from RNAcentral.
CUAGGCCCUGGCUUUUUUUCUGUGUCGUACUGGGUGCAAUAUAGAUGGGUUUCCACACCUAUCGCGGGCUAUCAUCGGCCUAAAGAGGUUGCACAAGAUCAAAGAAACACAACUAGUCCAUUGGAAGAAAAGUAUUGGGACGAAAAUAAAAACUGAGUCCGGGCAUCUCCGAGCGGUUCUUGUGGGAAAAAACUUGAUAUUACUCAGAGUGAGGCCUCCUAGUAGUUAUCUGUGAAUUUUCGGGACGUUUCUCACAUGGUUAAAAAUCGGCCGAUUUUUCGUAUGGUAAAGCCUUGGCCAUUUUGGACCGUUUUUGGCGCAACCGUUGUGCACCCCGAACGAGCCCCACCCGACCCCUAGGCCCUGGCUUUUUUUCUGUGUCGUACUGGUGCAAUAUAGAUGGGUUUCCACACCUAUCGCGGGCUAUCAUCGGGCCUAAAGAGGUUGCACAAGAUCAAAGAAAAACACAACUAGUCCAUUGAAGAAAAGUAUUGGGACGAAAAUAAAAACUGAGUCCGGCAUCUCCGAGCGGUUCUUGUGGGAAAAAACUUUGAUAUUACUCAGAGUGAGGCCUCCUAGUAGUUAUCUGUGAAUUUUCGGGACGUUUCUCACCAUGGUUAAAAAUCGGCCGAUUUCGUAUGGUAAAGCCUUGGCCAUUUUUGGACCCUUUUUGGCGCAACCGUUGUGCACCCCGAACGAGCCCCACCCGACCCCUAGGCCUGGGCUUUUUUUUGUGUCGUACUGGGUGCAAUAUAGAUGGUUUCCACACCUAUCGCGGGCUAUCAUCGGCCUAAAGAGGUUGCACAAGAUCAAAGAAACACAACUAGUCCAUGGGAAGAAAAGUAUUGGGACGAAAAUAAAAACUGAGUCGGGCAUCUCCGAGCGGUUCUUGUGGGAAAAAACUUUGAUAUUACUCAGAGUGAGGCCUCUAGUAGUUAUCUGUGAAUUUUCGGACGUUUCUCACAUGGUUAAAAAUCGGCGAUUUUUCGUAUGGUAAAGCCUUGGCCAUUUUUGGACCGUUUUUGGCGCAACCGUUGUGCACCCGAACGAGCCCACCCGACCCCUAGGCCCUGGGUUUUUUUCUCAUGUGCGUACUGGGUGCAAUAUAGAUGGGUUUUCCACACCUAUCCGCGGGCUAUCAUCGGCCUAAAGAGGUUGCCACAAGAUCAAAGAAACACAACUGCCAUUGGUAGAAAAGUAUUGGGCGAAAAUAAAAACUGAGUCCGGGAAUCUCGACCGCGGUUCUUGUGGGAAAAAACUUUGAUAUUUACUCAGAGUGAGGCCUCCUAGUAGUUAUCUGUGAAUUCGCGGACGUUUCUCACAUGGUUAAAAAUCGGCCGAUUUUUCGUAUGGUAAAGCCUUGGCCAUUUUUGGACCGUUUUUGGCGCAACCGUUGUGCACCCCGAACGAGCCCACCCCGACCCUAGGCCCUGGGCUUUUUUCUGUGUCAUACUGGGUGCAAUAUAGAUGGGUUUCCACACCUAUCCGCGGGCUAUCAUCGGCCUAAAGAGGUUGCACAAGAUCAAAGAAACACAACUAGUCCAUGGGUAGAAAAGUAUUGGGACGAAAAUAAAAAACUGAGUCCGGGCAUCUCCGAGCGGUUCUUGUGGGAAAAAACUUUGAUAUUACUCAGAGUGAGGCCUCCUUAGUUAUCUGUCAUUUUCGGGACGUUUUCACAUGGUUAAAAUCGGCCGAUUUUUCGUAUGGUAAAGCCUUGGCCAUUUUUGGACCGUUUUUGGCGCAACCGUUGUGCACCACCCGAACGAGCCCCACCCGACCCCUAGCCCCUGGGCUUUUUUCUGUGUCAUACUGGGUGCAAUAUAGAUGGGUUUCCACACCUAUCCGCGGGCUAUCAUCGGGCUAAAGAGGUUGCACAAGAUCAAAGAAACAAAACUAGUCCAUUGGUAAGAAAAGUAUCGGGACGAAAAUAAAAACUGAGUCCGGCAUCUCGAGCGGUUCUUGUGGAAAAAACUUUGAUAUUACUCAGAGUGAGGCUCCUAGUAGUUAUCUGUGAAUUUUCGGGACGUUUCUCACAUGGUUUAAAAAUCGGCCGAUUUUUCGUAUGGUAAAGCCUUGGCCAUUUUUGGACCGUUUUUGGCGCAACCGUUGUGCACUCCGAAGGAGCCCCACCCGACCCUAGGCCCUGCGGCUUUUUUUCUGUGUCAUACUGGGUGCAAUAUAGAUGGUUUCCACACCUAUCUGCGGGCUAUCAUCGGCCUAAAUAGGUUGCACAAGAUCAAAGAAACACAACUAGUCCAUGGGAAGAAAAGUAUUGGACGAAUAAAAACUGGAGUCGGCAUCUCCGAGCGGUUCUUGUGGGAAAAAACUUUGAUAUUACUCAGAGUGAGGCCUCCUAGUAGUUAUCUGUCAAUUUUCAGGACGUUUCUCACAUGGUUAAAAUCGGGCCGAUUUUUCGUAUGGUAAAGCCUGGCCAUUUUUUGGACCGUUUUUGGCGCAACCGUUGUGCACCCCGAACCAGCCCCACCCGACCCCUAGGUCCUGGGCUUUUUUUCUGUGUCGUAAAGGGUGCAAUAUAGAUGGGUUUCCACACCUAUCCGCGGGCUAUCAUCGGUCUAAAUAGGUUGCACAGGAUCAUAGAAACACAACUAAACCAUUGGAAGAAAAGUAUUGGGACGAAAAUAAAAACUGAGUCUGGGCAUCUUCGAGCGGUUUUUAUGAGAAGAAACUUUAAUAUUACUCAAAGUGAGGCCGCCUAGAGUUAUCUGUGAAUUUUCGGGACGUUUCUCACAUGGGUAAAAAAUCGGCGACUUUUCGUAUGUUAAAGCCUUGGCCAUUUUGGACCGUUUUUGGCGCAACCGUUGCGCACCUCGAACGAGCCCCACCCGACCCCUAGGUCCUGGCCUUUUUUCUGUGUCGUAAAGGGUGCAAUAUAGAUGGUUUCCACACCUAUCCGCGGGCUAUCAUCGGUCUAAAUAGGUUGCACAAGAUCAAAGAAACACAACUAAACCAUGGGAAGAAAAGUAUUGGGACGAAAAUAAAAACUGAGUCUGGGCAUCUACGAGCGGUUUUUGUGGGAAGAAACUUUAAUAUUACUCAAAGUGAGGCCGCCUAGUAG